UCAUGCUGAGAGGAAGCAAAGGGACGAGAGAGGCACACUUUGCUUGCAAGCCUGAGAAUGUUUAUUCCUUAACCGCCCUCAGCGCAAAGCAAAACAAAUGGUGACGGGACAAAGGAAUGCAUUAGAUUAAGUAGGGGGGGGGCAGACAGGGGUGGAAACCUGCCUCGCCCUAUGGGGACACACGACAGGGGAGUGACAUGGAUCAUAACAACCUAUGGCAACAUAACAGAGCAUAUUUGCAGUCAUCACCUGUCCAGGUGUCUUGAUAUCAGGGGUGUCCACAGAGAAGGUACUGUGACCCUCCUCUAGAGCUGACUGAAGAUUAAUGCUUCAGCUGUACUGGUGCAGGACUGAAAAUAAUGUGACUCCGUGCUGGGCCUCCACCCCCAGGAAAAGAGUAUGCAAGUGAAGAUUAGCAGUGGAAAAAAAAGGAUGCAUUUUAAUCUCUGA
Vidua chalybeata is the source of this 450-nucleotide long non-coding RNA. RefSeq lists it as uncharacterized. The record is from RefSeq and is a predicted model, not a curated record. NCBI's taxonomy places the organism in Eukaryota, Metazoa, Chordata, Aves, Passeriformes, Viduidae. The transcript has 2 exons.